This 2111-nucleotide ribosomal RNA is filed under the name Salmonella enterica subsp. enterica serovar Infantis. RNAcentral describes it as "partial 23S ribosomal RNA". It matches the Rfam family "Bacterial large subunit ribosomal RNA", at positions 711 to 2802 of the family's 2925-position model. The record is from RNAcentral. Lineage: Bacteria; Pseudomonadati; Pseudomonadota; Gammaproteobacteria; Enterobacterales; Enterobacteriaceae.
AGACCCGAAACCCGGUGAUCUAGCCAUGGGCAGGUUGAAGGUUGGGUAACACUAACUGGAGGACCGAACCGACUAAUGUUGAAAAAUUAGCGGAUGACCUGUGGCUGGGGGUGAAAGGCCAAUCAAACCGGGAGAUAGCUGGUUCUCCCCGAAAGCUAUUUAGGUAGCGCCUCGUGAAUUCAUCUCCGGGGGUAGAGCACUGUUUCGGCUAGGGGGCCAUCCCGGCUUACCAACCCGAUGCAAACUGCGAAUACCGGAGAAUGUUAUCACGGGAGACACACGGCGGGUGCUAACGUCCGUCGUGAAGAGGGAAACAACCCAGACCGCCAGCUAAGGUCCCAAAGUCAUGGUUAAGUGGGAAACGAUGUGGGAAGGCCCAGACAGCCAGGAUGUUGGCUUAGAAGCAGCCAUCAUUUAAAGAAAGCGUAAUAGCUCACUGGUCGAGUCGGCCUGCGCGGAAGAUGUAACGGGGCUAAACCAUGCACCGAAGCUGCGGCAGCGACACUCAGGUGUUGUUGGGUAGGGGAGCGUUCUGUAAGCCUGUGAAGGUGUGUCGUGAGGCAUGCUGGAGGUAUCAGAAGUGCGAAUGCUGACAUAAGUAACGAUAAAGCGGGUGAAAAGCCCGCUCGCCGGAAGACCAAGGGUUCCUGUCCAACGUUAAUCGGGGCAGGGUGAGUCGACCCCUAAGGCGAGGCCGAAAGGCGUAGUCGAUGGGAAACGGGUUAAUAUUCCCGUACUUGGUGUUACUGCGAAGGGGGGACGGAGAAGGCUAUGUUGGCCGGGCGACGGUUGUCCCGGUUUAAGCGUGUAGGUGUGUGUUCCAGGUAAAUCCGGUUCACUUUAACACUGAGGCGUGAUGACGAGGCACUACGGUGCUGAAGCAACAAAUGCCCUGCUUCCAGGAAAAGCCUCUAAGCAUCAGGUAACAUCAAAUCGUACCCCAAACCGACACAGGUGGUCAGGUAGAGAAUACCAAGGCGCUUGAGAGAACUCGGGUGAAGGAACUAGGCAAAAUGGUGCCGUAACUUCGGGAGAAGGCACGCUGACAUGUAGGUGAAGUGAUUUACUCAUGGAGCUGAAGUCAGUCGAAGAUACCAGCUGGCUGCAACUGUUUAUUAAAAACACAGCACUGUGCAAACACGAAAGUGGACGUAUACGGUGUGACGCCUGCCCGGUGCCGGAAGGUUAAUUGAUGGGGUCAGCGCAAGCGAAGCUCCUGAUCGAAGCCCCGGUAAACGGCGGCCGUAACUAUAACGGUCCUAAGGUAGCGAAAUUCCUUGUCGGGUAAGUUCCGACCUGCACGAAUGGCGUAAUGAUGGCCAGGCUGUCUCCACCCGAGACUCAGUGAAAUUGAACUCGCUGUGAAGAUGCAGUGUACCCGCGGCAAGACGGAAAGACCCCGUGAACCUUUACUAUAGCUUGACACUGAACAUUGAGCCUUGAUGUGUAGGAUAGGUGGGAGGCUUUGAAGCGUGGACGCCAGUCUGCGUGGAGCCGACCUUGAAAUACCACCCUUUAAUGUUUGAUGUUCUAACGUGGACCCGUAAUCCGGGUUGCGGACAGUGUCUGGUGGGUAGUUUGACUGGGGCGGUCUCCUCCUAAAGAGUAACGGAGGAGCACGAAGGUUGGCUAAUCCUGGUCGGACAUCAGGAGGUUAGUGCAAUGGCAUAAGCCAGCUUGACUGCGAGCGUGACGGCGCGAGCAGGUGCGAAAGCAGGUCAUAGUGAUCCGGUGGUUCUGAAUGGAAGGGCCAUCGCUCAACGGAUAAAAGGUACUCCGGGGAUAACAGGCUGAUACCGCCCAAGAGUUCAUAUCGACGGCGGUGUUUGGCACCUCGAUGUCGGCUCAUCACAUCCUGGGGCUGAAGUAGGUCCCAAGGGUAUGGCUGUUCGCCAUUUAAAGUGGUACGCGAGCUGGGUUUAGAACGUCGUGAGACAGUUCGGUCCCUAUCUGCCGUGGGCGCUGGAGAACUGAGGGGGGCUGCUCCUAGUACGAGAGGACCGGAGUGGACGCAUCACUGGUGUUCGGGUUGUCAUGCCAAUGGCACUGCCCGGUAGCUAAAUGCGGAAGAGAUAAGUGCUGAAAGCAUCUAAGCACGAAACUUGCCCCGA